Long non-coding RNA from Cyprinus carpio (common carp), 1014 nucleotides. The record is from Ensembl. Lineage: Eukaryota; Metazoa; Chordata; Actinopteri; Cypriniformes; Cyprinidae.
AUGGAGAUGGAUAGAAAACGUGGAGUGGAUCACAGCCUACUUCGGCCAAUACAGAGAUUUACUACUUCAUCCAACUUUAAAAUUGAACUGUUUAAUGCGCAAUCGCUCACUAACAAAUCCGGCUUUAUACAUGAUAACAUUCGUGACAAAAGUUUGGAUAUAAUGUGCCUCACAGAAACCUGGCAGAAACCAGGUGUUUUUUCUGUUUUAAAUGAGACUUGCCCUCCUAGCUACUGUUAUCUUCAUAAAGCUCGUAGCUCCGGCCGUGGUGGUGGCUUGGCUGUCAUCUACCGCAGUCACUUGGAUUUGUCCCUUUUGGACAUCCCCGAGCUGUCUUCUUUUGAAUGUCUGGCAUUUAAUUGUAAGCCUCCAUUUCCUAUGACAGUACUAUUAAUUUACCGGCCACCCAAAUCAACCUCAAACUUCAUUUCAGAGUUGUACAAUUUUCUUUCAACUAUCUGUGCAACCUCCUCCAAUAUAAUAAUACUUGGGGAUUUUAACAUUCAUGUUAACAAUCCUACUUGUCAUCUUGCUACAGAAUUUUUGCAAUUACUGGACUGCUUAAAUCUCAGACAAUAUGUUGAUGUCCCCACUCACAUCAAGGGGAAUAUUCUCGAUUUGGUCAUUACUGAGUCAGCCCUUUUAAGCGCACCAUUUGUAUAUGAUCUGGGUGUAUCUGACCAUAAGGUCAUCUCCAUGGAGCUGUCCUUUCCGUAUUCCUACAUGAAGCCUAAACGUGAAAUACGUUUUAGAAAUCUGAAAAAGAUUAACACAGAAAACAUGACCUUAAGCCUUCAACAUCUCCUUUCUUCAAAUAUUUCAUCAGUCACUGAAUCUGUGGAAUUUUAUAAUCAGACAUUGAGCCGCAUUUUGGAUUUCCAUGCACCCGUCAAAGUUAGGACAAUUACGUUUUCCCGUUCAGCUCCCUGGUUCACAAGUGACCUGCGAAAAAUGAAGGCAGCUGGACGUGCCCUUGAACGGCGGUACAACUCUUCUGAACUAACUGUUCAUUAG